Molecule: ribosomal RNA, 243 nt
Filed under: uncultured cyanobacterium
Lineage: Bacteria; Bacillati; Cyanobacteriota
Description: partial 16S ribosomal RNA
Rfam family: Bacterial small subunit ribosomal RNA
Source: RNAcentral
GACGGAGGAUGCGAGCGUUAUCCGGAAUUAUUGGGCGUAAAGCGUCCGCAGGCGGUUUUACAAGUCUGUCGUUAAAGAGUGCAGCUCAACUCCGUUUCAGCGGUGGAAACUGUAAAACUCGAGUGUGGUAGGGGCAGAGGGAAUUCCCGGUGUAGCGGUGAAAUGCGUAGAUAUCGGGAAGAACACCAGUGGCGAAGGCGCUCUGCUGGGCCAUAACUGACGCUCAUGGACGAAAGCCAGGGG